UUUUUGAUAAUAAUUUAAAGUCUAACCUGCCCACUGAAUUUUUGAAGGGCCGCGGUAUUUUGACUGUGCAAAGGUAGCAUAAUCAUUAGUCUUUUAAUUGAAGGCUUGUAUGAAUGGUUGAAUGAGGUAUUAACUGUCUCAAUUUAAUAAUAAUUAGAAUUUUAUUUUUAAGUUAAAAAGCUUAAAUUAUAUUGGAGGACGAGAAGACCCUAUAGAUCUUUAUAAUUUUUUUUAAUAAUAAUUUUAUAGUAAUUAUUUAUUUUUAUUAAAUUAAUUAUUUUAUUGGGGUGAUAAAAAAAUUUAUUAAACUUUUUUUGUAAAUAAACAAUAAUUUUUGAUUAAUUGAUCCAUUUUUAGUGAUUAUAAGAUUAAGUUACCUUAGGGAUAACAGUGUAAUUUUUUUGGAAAGUUCAUAUUUAUAAAAAAGAUUGCAACCUCGAUGUUGAAUUAAAGGUAAAUUUUAGGUGUAGAAGUUUAAAAUUUAGGUCUGUUCGACCUUUAGAUCUUU
This 508-nucleotide ribosomal RNA is filed under the name Archichauliodes sp. EH-2004. Its description in RNAcentral is "partial 16S ribosomal RNA". The stretch from base 384 to 508 matches the Rfam family "Bacterial large subunit ribosomal RNA", at positions 2473 to 2597 of the family's 2925-position model. Lineage: Eukaryota; Metazoa; Arthropoda; Insecta; Megaloptera; Corydalidae. The record is from RNAcentral.